GAUGAACGCUGGCGGCGUGCCUAAUACAUGCAAGUCGAGCGAACAGACGAGGAGCUUGCUCCUCUGACGUUAGCGGCGGACGGGUGAGUAACACGUGGAUAACCUACCUAUAAGACUGGGAUAACUUCGGGAAACCGGAGCUAAUACCGGAUAAUAUAUUGAACCGCAUGGUUCAAUAGUGAAAGACGGUUUUGCCGUCACUUAUAGAUGGAUCCGCGCCGCAUUAGCUAGUUGGUAAGGUAACGGCUUACCAAGGCAACGAUGCGUAGCCGACCUGAGAGGGUGAUCGGCCACACUGGAACUGAGACACGGUCCAGACUCCUACGGGAGGCAGCAGUAGGGAAUCUUCCGCAAUGGGCGAAAGCCUGACGGAGCAACGCCGCGUGAGUGAUGAAGGUCUUCGGAUCGUAAAACUCUGUUAUUAGGGAAGAACAAAUGUGUAAGUAACUAUGCACGUCUUGACGGUUCCUAAUCAGAAAGCCACGGCUAACUACGUG
This 497-nucleotide ribosomal RNA is filed under the name uncultured bacterium. Its description in RNAcentral is "partial 16S ribosomal RNA". It matches the Rfam family "Bacterial small subunit ribosomal RNA", at positions 28 to 507 of the family's 1533-position model. The record is from RNAcentral.